ACACUCCUACGGGAGGCAGCAGUGGGGAAUUUUGGACAAUGGGCGAAAGCCUGAUCCAGCAAUGCCGCGUGAGUGAAGAAGGCCUUCGGGUUGUAAAGCUCUUUUGUCAGGGAAGAAACGGUGAAAGCUAAUAUCUUUUGCUAAUGACGGUACCUGAAGAAUAAGCACCGGCUAACUACGUGCCAGCAGCCGCGGUAAUACGUAGGGUGCAAGCGUUAAUCGGAAUUACUGGGCGUAAAGCGUGCGCAGGCGGUUUUGUAAGUCUGAUGUGAAAUCCCCGGGCUCAACCUGGGAAUUGCAUUGGAGACUGCAAGGCUAGAAUCUGGCAGAGGGGGGUAGAAUUCCACGUGUAGCAGUGAAAUGCGUAGAUAUGUGGAGGAACACCGAUGGCGAAGGCAGCCCCCUGGGUCAAGAUUGACGCUCAUGCACGAAAGCGUGGGGAGCAAACAGGAUUAGAAACCCUAGUAGUCCCAUGA
This 476-nucleotide ribosomal RNA is filed under the name uncultured organism. Its description in RNAcentral is "partial 16S ribosomal RNA". It matches the Rfam family "Bacterial small subunit ribosomal RNA", at positions 333 to 800 of the family's 1533-position model. The record is from RNAcentral.